RNAcentral lists this long non-coding RNA (400 nucleotides) under Mytilus galloprovincialis (Mediterranean mussel). Lineage: Eukaryota; Metazoa; Mollusca; Bivalvia; Mytilida; Mytilidae. The record is from RNAcentral.
AAAUACCCCUUAAUAGACCCCAAUGCACAAAUGAACGAUUGAUGGCUCACCUAGACAUAUUAGUCUAACAUUUUAUGAAACCCUAAGUAAAUCUGACAAGUAGUUUUGGAGAAAUGCUGCGGACAAGUUCAUUUUUAAAGUGGCGGAAGAAGAAGAGGAAGAAGAGGAAGAAGAGGAAGAAGAAGAAUAAUAAAAAUAAUAAGAACUGAGCAAAAACAAUAAGUCUCCAAACUUUGUUCGAAUAGGUAACGAAUAGGGAAUAGGGAAUAGGUAACGAAUAGGUAACGAAUAGGGAAUAGGGAAUAGGUAACGAAUAGGUAACGAAUAGGGAAUAGGGAAUAGGUAACGAAUAGGGAAUAGGGAAUAGGUAACGAAUAGGUAACGAAUAGGGAAUAGGGAC